AUCCAGUUGACGAAUCCCAAAUAGAACGAAACGCACUUUAUCCUGGAU
Molecule: non-coding RNA, 48 nt
Organism: Schistosoma mansoni
Lineage: Eukaryota; Metazoa; Platyhelminthes; Trematoda; Strigeidida; Schistosomatidae
Source: Rfam